This is a non-coding RNA of Lolium perenne, 2603 nucleotides long. The record is from RefSeq and is a predicted model, not a curated record. Lineage: Eukaryota; Viridiplantae; Streptophyta; Magnoliopsida; Poales; Poaceae.
AUCUUGCUUAUCUCAUGUGUAAAAUGCAUCCCCUGUUUCCAGGACUUAGUCGCAGGCAUAUGUAGCUCAGUCAUAGUUGUGUGUACUGCUACUGUUACUUGUAGCAUCAAGUGUGCAAUUUGUAGCAUCAAGUGUUGGUUGUAUGUACUGUUCAGUACCAUCUGUUAGUUGUAUGAAGUGUGGAAUGAGUAUUGAGAACAAGCAAGUGCGUGUAGCAUUGCCCUAUCUCUGCUUGCUCCACGAUAGCCCCAUGGCGUGCUCAGGCUGGGCGAAAAUUUGGUAGUCGAUGUACUGUCUGGCUAAUUGUACUGCACCUGUACUGCAAGACAGCAUGACUGAUGUACUGCGGCUGCGAGCGAGCGAAAAGUAACUUGACGAACAUUUCCUACCUCUGCGCUCUCUCCCUCUCAAACCCUAUUCUCUCUCGUCUCACUCUUCCCGGCGGCGGCGGCCGCUACUGGGAGUAGCACGACGGGCAGGCGGCUACUGGGAGUAGCACGACGGGCGGCAGCCGAUGGCGGGGAACGGGAUGGCGGCAGGGAACGGCGGGCUCCUGCGCAGUGUGGUUGCGGCGGCGGUGUUCAUUGUUUGCGAGCGCUCCCCGGCGCCGGUGCGGGACCAAGCUGUUGGACGCUUCAGAAGCAGAGGUGGGUGCCAAAUUGACUCGAUGGUUCAGAGCCGAGGUGGCUGCCAAAUUGAACUACACUCUCUUCUUGAUGGGUCUCUGAUUUCCCUUGAAACAUUACAGAUGGAUGUGGCGGUUCUGGACUAAACCAUGGAGACAUCUCUUUCCGCAUUGCAAUGUAUCUUUCUUUUCCUUUUAGAUCCAAGGAUGUGAUUUAAAAGUUAAAACCCGACACUUUCUAUCAGUGUAGGACACUAUGAGACAAUCGAAUGCCUAUAACUAUAGUUUUUCCUGUAGAGUUGUUUGCUUAUACGAUUUGCUUUCUCUUUUGUUGACAUUUUUUAUUUUGCCGUCGCUGAUGUUCAGUUACUUCAGGUUGAGCAAGGAGGAACAAUCAGAAGAUUUAGCAUUUAUUUUUCUAAAUCUGCAGAUUAUUGUAAUUAAAAAUCAGUGUGCCUUUAAUCAGCAGGCUAUCGUGACGGUCUCGUUGAGUCAUUGUUGGGCAUGGUACGGUAGCCUAUUUAGCAUUUAGUUAUUAGCACAUUUGAAAAUUAACAUCCCAAAACCGGUUUCAGUAUUUGCAGUUUGCAGCUAGAUGAUGAAAUAUUUGGUCUUGCUGAUCAACACCGUAUUACCUAGAUGUUGGUCUUCCAUGGCAAGAUCGUUUGCGUACUUUGAAGUCAUUCAUGAUUUCUCUUCCUCCCCUUUUCUUGGCAUCUUUUUUGUACCUCCAAUUCGAGUUGUGUUGGUUUGUGCUAUAUAUAUCUGAGCAUAUAUGAUUAGGAUCCCAGUAUUUGUCAAUAUCUGGAGUUAUUGAGCUAUACGCUCAUUUUAGUUUUAUGCUCAUGGAACAUUUGAUGAAUUGCUUAAUGAAUGUGUGUUAGAUUGAUGAAUAACAACGAAAGGCUGCAGCAAGAGGAUAUAGGAGACAAGGAAUCUUGUUCUGCGGAGGACAUGACGAGGACGGGGAUGAGUUGAAGGCAGCGGAUUCUCCAUUGCUUUGGCCCCAUGUUGGAGGGUAUAAUGUAAUCAUUCUCUAAGUGCCUCGGAGAAUGACUCGAGGGGUACAGAAGGUGAAGUAAGUACCACACAUGCCUCUGCAGCUAUGAUACUAAAAGAGAGUAUGCCAGUUACUGUGAGGAAUUAGCCAAGCAACUCAAGGAGUGUAAUGGUGUUGAUUUUGAGAUUUGGUAGGAGGGUGCUCAGGGAAUGGUUAGUACUUUGCAAUGCACACCAGUCUUACGCACACUUAACUUUCUGAGGGUGAUUCCAUGUUUUUACACACACUGCAUAUUAUGCUUACCAAUGCAUGAUGUUUCCCUUGAUUAAUGUUCAGAAGAGUCUCAAAUAUGUGUUGGAGGAAGUUUAUAAUCUCAAUAGGUUUCCCUCAUCCCAUCCUAUGAUGAAAGAUGCACUAGAGUUUGAUGGCACCAUGAAGAUGGUGAGAGAGGAGGUGUAUUCACCUGAUCUGGUACAUCACCUGCUAUAUAUGGAUUAAUCUUGCACAAGCCUCCUCUUAUUAUAUGACUUAACACUUUGGUUCUUGUACAAUUGAAAACCAUUGUUUGUCCUUACAAAUGCGGUGAAGCUGUAGAGGAGAAGAAGGACCACCAGUUUGCAGAUUAAACCACAUGAGACCCUAGGUAUCACCAUCCUCAUAGAUUGGGUAUGAACUAGCAAGGAAUUUUCAACAACACCCCUAAGGAAGUUGCGAGGAUUAAAGAUUGCCAAGAAAUUUCAGUUGGUCAUAUUGUCUAUGGCCCAUCAAGUAUUCAGCAAUCGGAACUUGGAAUUAGUCUGCAGACAUAUAUCUAUGUGUCUCCUUUGAAAAUUUAAUAAAUGCAUAUCUCUUUAGACUUUUGAUUCUGCCUUGGAUGAGUUUGUUGCAUGCUGUCUUAUUGAUUAUGUUACUUGUGAGAUAAAGUAAACUCCAUGUUGAAAUAACUGUCUUGAGGAAAUAUCAUCCAUUACUUUGAAA